AACAAAAAUCACGCGUCUCCUUGUUAUUUGCAUAUGUAACAAUUACGUAAAUUGAUAUAAUAAUCAAUAAAAAAAUACUCCAUCUUAUUUCUUUAGUUUUUGAAAACAGUUUUUAAAAUAUUUAGAAACAAUUAACGCUAUUUUUCUUGAAUAAUAUUGAAAAUUACUGAUGCGACGGUUCGUAUCUUACUGACAAGAGAACGUAUUCGGUUUUUAAUUUCAUAUUCGUAGCGGGUACGACACCGUCAUGUUCCGUACGCUCCAUCUGUAUAUUAUUGAUUAAUCUGUGUUAAAUACAAAACACUUUAAUGAGAAAAUCAAUUGUAUGGAAUUUUAUAUUAUAAUAAUAUAAGACAGAAUUUAAAAUGUUUCAUUUUUGUAAACAUAAUAUUUUGUAUAAUUUUAUAUCGAGUGCUUAAUUAUUAUCGAUAAAACAGCCCUAGCUCAAUUUAGAGACCUAACAUGGUUACCGGAAGCCUCAAAAAUAAUUACUUGUCACAUAUCCUCUAUUAUCUAUGUAUCUAAGACAAAUUGACAUCGCAAUCGGUUAUUAUUCAAAAAUCCAUGACCCAUAGAUAACUAAUCAUCUCAGGUCAAUCGUGUCCAUACGCUACACUAUAAAUUUGACUCGCAAUCUCAGACUAAUUAGAUAAAGACCUGCCUCGCAAGACAUUACUUUUCUGACAAAGUAUAUGAUCAACGAUCUUAUGCGAUUAUAAACACUGUCUCUAUAGAAUCGAUGUUUCAUAGUUACAAUCGUGUCCGUCGGUUAAAAACCUCCGUAAAAAUACCUUUUUGUGUAGUUAAAUGGUGUAAAAAAACGAACAAAAACUGCAAGUUUAGUAUAUGAUAUGCUUUGAUACCUAUAUAUAUGGACCUGUGGCAUUUUACGUCAAAAUUGGUCAAGGAUUUAACUUUUUAAAGAAUAAACAAAAUUUUUUCGUAACCUCUCUAACUUAAAGAAAGUUACCUUAAUGGAGCGAGAUAGAUAUUUUUUUAGUCAUUGCUUAAAAAGGUUAGACAUAUUUUACAUGACAACAUCAAUUAUGUCAGUUGUGACCAAAUUAUCUUUUGUUUUUAGUGACCAAAAAUGGCUAUUGUUGUGGUUCCGGUGUAACGUUAUUCGAAUUAUUACGGAAAUAAUAACCAAUAAGCUUGUGAAUCGCAAAAUAAAUUAAAUUUAUACAAUGGUGAAGUGUGCAGUUGUUGCCUUCACCAACAAAACCCAAACAAAACUAGCGGGAAUUUCAUUUCACAAAUUUCCAAAAAAUCAUAAUUUAAGACAAAAAUGGCUAAACAGCAUUAACAGGCCUAAUUUCAAGCCAUCACGAUACAGCUGCAUAUGUAGUGAUCAUUUUAAGAAGGAUCACAUUAAUUUAACAUGCUUUCCGCGCCUCAAAAACAAUGCCUGUCCAUCUAUCCCGGUGAGAAUCUUUUUUCAUCGUAUUCAUUCUUGUUUGUGAUAAAAUAGGAAUUCCCUCAUUUUAAAAUAUCUGAAUACUAGCAAAUUUUAGUUUGAACAUUUAUUUAUAUAAUUUUUUUAUUGUGUCCAA
Molecule: long non-coding RNA, 1553 nt
Organism: Bicyclus anynana (squinting bush brown)
Lineage: Eukaryota; Metazoa; Arthropoda; Insecta; Lepidoptera; Nymphalidae
Exons: 2
Source: RefSeq, a predicted model, not a curated record